Molecule: ribosomal RNA, 236 nt
Filed under: uncultured bacterium
Lineage: Bacteria
Description: partial 16S ribosomal RNA
Rfam family: Bacterial small subunit ribosomal RNA
Source: RNAcentral
CGGCACGGGUGAGUAACACGUACCCAACCUGCCGUCUACUCUUGGACAGCCUUCUGAAAGGAAGAUUAAUACAAGAUGGCAUCAUGAGUCCACAUGUUCACAUGAUUAAAGGUAUUCCGGUAGACGAUGGGGAUGCGUUCCAUUAGAUAGUAGGCGGGGUAACGGCCCACCUAGUCUUCGAUGGAUAGGGGUUCUGAGAGGAAGGUCCCCCACAUUGGAACUGAGACACGGUCCAA